AGACUGAUGAACUGCAGUUUGUCAGAGAUCAGCUUUUCUUCUCUGGCCUCAGCUCUGAAGUCCAACCCCUCCCAUCUGAGAGAGCUGGACCUGGGUGACAACAAUCUGCAGGAUUCAGGAGUGAAGCUGCUGUGUGAUUAUCUGCAGGGUCCAAACUGUAAACUGGAGACUCUGAUGUAAGUUUAGUCUUUGUCUGUUUCUGGUGUAGAUUCAUUUUUUUUAACCCAAUUCAAGUGUUCAUAGAAUUCUUUAAUGUUUUCAGAACUUAAUUCUUGCUCACAUAGUGCUGACAGUAGAGACAACAUAGUCUGUUCUGGGUUGAGUGUUAUUGUUGAAGAUCAGUGUACAGUGAGGGAUGAAGGCCGUUCAAGUUCAUUUUGAAGACUUUUUACCUUUUGUUGACCUAAGCGCUGGCCAAACCAGUGCUCCAUCACAUUUGAUGUCUUGUCUGUUAUUUUACAUGGAGGGUCAGAGCAGACCAGAUAAUGAGCUCUGACAGACUGGAUCUGGUCCAAAGGUCUCCUGUUGAAGUUCUUUAAGCUCAAUUUUUUAAACCUGAACACCUGAAGUUUGAUUAUUAAUUAUUUUGAUCCUCAUUCUCUUUCCUUUUUUCAGACUGAGGCACUGCAGUUUGUCAGAGAUCAGCUGUUCUUCUCUGGCCUCAGCUCUGAAGUUCAACCCCUCCCAUCUGAGACAUCUGGACCUGAGAGAAAACAAACUGCAGGAUUCAGGAGUGAAGCUGCUGUGUGACUUUCUGCAGAGUCCAAACUGUAAACUGGAGACUCUGAGGUCAGACUUUUUUCCUCCAUUCAAACAUUAUCAUGAUUUGUUUGUGAUGAUGACACUAAACUGCUGACUCAGGACUGAAAUACUGACCCAGACUGAACACCUUCAGUCCAGAGUAGAUUUUCUGCAUCAGUGGAUUAUUUGAUUGACUCCAGUUCGAUCACUGCUGAGCUCCAGUGAAUUAAAACCUGAACCCAAGAAGAAAACUCUUUGUAGAGUUCACAGUGAGAAGCACAUUCAGACAGAAAACAGAAGCAGGGGGAGAUUUGUCAGACGAGAACCAUUCAAACUUUUGUUCAGGACAAGAUCAGGGACUAUAAAAAACUCAGAGUUAAGUUUCUGACACUGAUGAAAGUCCAGCUCUGUUACUUUGAAUUUUGAUUGAUUUUGUGAAUCUUUAUGUGAAAAUCUGAAUUUUCUGGUUUAUCUGCACUUUUCUGAAGCCUUGCUGUGUUUAGACUGAAAUAUUUACCUCUCAAAGACGUGAUAUUUUUGGUUCAGCAAAGCGAAAAUAUUCUGAACCUCCUUUAUUUCCCAUCUGUCCUGAUGUCGCUGAAAUUUUCUGAAAAUAUUGAGCUGCAUCUACAAUCAGUAAAAAAGUCUCUGAGUUUUUUAUUUCACUAUUUAAUGUGUUUUUGAAUUCACAGUUUCAAACUGACUUCCUGUUUGGUUCAGCUCUUUGGAGCGUCACUUUUCUUUGAUUCAUACUUUCCAAACCUUUCCCCUGAACUCUCCAGAUUUAAGACAUCAGGUUUCAAACUGGAUCAUUUUGUCUAAAAUCUCAUUAUUUCCUUUGUAUUUAGAUUGAAUAACUGCAGUUUGACAAAGAUCAGCUGUUCUUCUCUGGCCUCAUCUCUGAAGUCCAACCCCUCCCAUCUGAGAUAUCUGGACCUGAGUAUCAACAAUCUGCAGGAUUCAGGAGUGAAGCUGCUGUGUGAUCUUCUGCAGAGUCCAAACUGUAAACUGGAGACUCUGAGGUCAGACUUUUUUCCUCCAUUCAGACAUGAUCAUGAUUUGUUUGUGAUGAUGACACUAAACUGCUGACUCAGGACUGAAAUACUGACCCAGACUGAACACCUUCAGUCCAGAGUAGAUUUUCUGCAUCAGUGGAUUAUUUGAUUGACUCCAGUUCGAUCACUGCUGAGCUCCAGUGAAUUAAAACCUGAACCCAAGAAGAAAACUCUUUGUAGAGUUCACAGUGAGAAGCACAUUCAGACAGAAAACAGAAGCAGGGGGAGAUUUGUCAGACGAGAACCAUUCAAACUUUUGUUCAGGACAAGAUCAGGGAAUAGAAAAAACUCAGUUUAGUUUCUGACACUGAUGAAAGUCCAGCUCUGUUACUUUGAAUUUUGAUUGAUUUUGUGAAUCUCUGUGUGAAAAUCUGAAUUUUCUGGUUUAUCUGCACUUUUCUGAAGCCUUGCUGUGUUUAGACUGAAAUAUUUACCUCUCAAAGACGUGAUAUUUUUGGUUCAGCAAAGUGAAAAAUAUUCUGAAUAUCCUUUAUUUCCCAUCCGUCCUGAAGUCGCUGACAUUUUCUGAAAAUAUUGAGCUGCAUCUCCAAUCAGUAAAAAAGUCUCUGAGUUUUUUAUUUCACUAUUUAAUGUGUUUUUGAAUUCACUGUUUCAAACUGACUUCCUGUUUGGUUCAGCUCUUUGAAGCGUCACUUUUCUUUGAUUCAUACUUUCCAAACCUUUCCCCUGAACUCUACAGAUUUAAGACAUCAGGUUUCAAACUGGAUCAUUUUUCUCUAAAAUCUCAUUAUUUCCUCUUUAUUUAGGUUGUAUGAAUGCAGUUUGACAAAGAUCAGCUGUUCUUCUCUGGCCUCAGCUCUGAAGUCCAACCCCUCCCAUCUGAGACGUCUGGAUCUGAAUUUCAACAAUCUGCAGGAUUCAGACAUGGAGCUGCUGUAUGAUCUUCAGAAGAGUCCAGACUACAGACUGGAGACUCUGGAGUCAGUAUAGAGUUGGAGUUAGUCUGUGCUGAUCUCUCCUGUUCCUCUCCACACAGAAUCACAGCAGAUAUUCAGUAUUUCCUGCUGACUCUUCGACCCUCUCAGAGGAUUCUUUCUUUAGUGAAGCUGUGAGAACAGAAAUCAUCAAACCAGGAGUGUAAGAGUGUCAGUGAUGAAAAAAGUGUCUCCUCGUCUCUAUAUUUCAGAUCAAAUGUAGAAAUGAAACAUAAUGAAACAGAAAUGUUCAGUUUCUGCUCUGAAGUCCAGUUUAUAGUUCUCUGUAUUCAACACAGACUUUAUUUCUCUGCUAACUUGUUGAUUUUGAGCUCUAAGUCUGAAAACAGACAGCUGUUCUUUAUACUUGUUAUUUUCACAGCAGGUUUGUUCGAUCAGCUUUAACACAUUUGACAGGAAUGAUUUCUUUAUUUUGAUGAUGUUGGUUUAUUUGUGAGGAAACCUGCUGCUGUACACCAUCACUUCUGCUCUGAGCAGGACUGAGACCUGCUGGUCUUUAAACUGGAUGUUCUUCAGUCCAGCUGAUGAAGUGAGUCUCAGAGUGGAAACACUCAUCGUCUUUUUUUCUCUCCUCAGAUGGAGAUCCUAUCAGUGAGAGUGAUUAAGAAGAGGAUCAUGUGUUUCCUGAUGCUCAGAGAGGUGGAGGCAGCGGUGUGUCGGUGUGUUUAGUUGGUCUUAGUUUUUAUGAAGCAGGAACUUUGAUUUGAUCGUCUUUUCUUGGAAAUCAAAGUUCCUGUUGGACUCAAAGAUAAAGUCUGUGAUCCCCGUCAGGUUUGAAGACUUAAAUUUCACAGCAGAGUGAUUGUGGCUCUGAGUCGGGAUGUUUGGACAUUUGUUUCAUGUGUUUUUAUUUGUGAUAUUCUCUCUAAGGUGGGUUAUUGUUCAUUCAAAGUAUGUGGUGGACAAAUCCACACAUCUAACAAAAAAAAGGUAAAAUAUGAAGAUUUCUGCAUGACAUCAACGAUAUAAUAGAUAUAAUUUUCUAAGCAACAGGUGGUCGUCUCUUAUAGGGGGUACUUUGAUCCAGAAAUCAAAAGCAAUCGAAGAAAGACACACGUCUGUCUGUCUGAUGUUUAGUGCCUUCCUUUUUAGUCUGGCUUUUAGCUGAUUUGUGUUUGAUUCUUCUAGCCUCUCUUCUAGUCUACUCUUUUUAUCUCACGUAUUUCACUCCACUUUAG
RNAcentral lists this long non-coding RNA (3930 nucleotides) under Xyrichtys novacula (pearly razorfish). The record is from RNAcentral. Lineage: Eukaryota; Metazoa; Chordata; Actinopteri; Labriformes; Labridae.